This is a long non-coding RNA of Amphibalanus amphitrite, 249 nucleotides long. RefSeq lists it as uncharacterized. The transcript is spliced from 3 exons. NCBI's taxonomy places the organism in Eukaryota, Metazoa, Arthropoda, Thecostraca, Balanomorpha, Balanidae. The record is from RefSeq and is a predicted model, not a curated record.
GAGGGCUCCCUAGUCCCGGGGAGGGCUCCCUGCACCCAGCCCCAGUGCCUCUCAGUCGUCCAGACAGCCAGUGUCGCCCGAACGGGGCAGAUAUAUCUGCCGCCAUGGACAUGGAGAGUGUGCGCAGUCGGCUAAACAGCGCCGGUCAGCAGCACCUGCUGGCCCACUGGGACAGACUGAGCGCCGAGCAGCAGCAGCAGCUCUACGACGACAUUCAGCGUCUGGACCUGGACGAGGUAUGCGGCUUCC